UGGAAUGCAUAGGAAUCUACCUAGUAGUAUGGGAUAGCCCUAGAAAUGGUGGGUAAUACUGUAUAAUCCCUGCGGGGGAAAGAUUUAUCGCUAUUAGAUGAGCCUAUGUUAGAUUAGCUAGUUGGUAGGGUAAAGGCCUACCAAGGCGAUGAUCUAUAGCUGGUCUGAGAGGAUGAUCAGCCACACUGGAACUGAGAUACGGUCCAGACUCCUACGGGAGGCAGCAGUGGGGAAUAUUGGACAAUGGGCGCAAGCCUGAUCCAGCUAUGCCGCGUGAGUGAGGAAGGCCUUAGGGUUGUAAAACUCUUUCAGUAGGGAAGAUAAUGACGGUACCUACAGAAGAAGUCCCGGCAAACUCCGUGCCAGCAGCCGCGGUAAUACGGAGGGGGCAAGCGUUGUUCGGAAUUAUUGGGCGUAAAGGGCAUGUAGGCGGUUCGGUAAGUUAAAGGUGAAAUGCCAGGGCUUAACCCUGGAGCUGCUUUUAAACCUGCC
RNAcentral lists this ribosomal RNA (492 nucleotides) under Anaplasma phagocytophilum. RNAcentral describes it as "bacterial SSU rRNA". It matches the Rfam family "Bacterial small subunit ribosomal RNA", at positions 109 to 637 of the family's 1533-position model. The record is from RNAcentral. Lineage: Bacteria; Pseudomonadati; Pseudomonadota; Alphaproteobacteria; Rickettsiales; Anaplasmataceae.